ACGGGCGGCAACGUAUGUGGAGUCGCCGUUAACGGCGGGCGAAAUGAAUGCAUCCCCAUCUACCAGCUUCGGCCCCUGUUUUCAGCGAAAGGGGAUCGAGCCGAGUAAAAAUUAGAGCCGGAGGGCGGCGUCGGUGGCGGCUACGUCGGCGACAUUCUCGCACACCGAUUCCCUGCUCGCGUCGCCGGACGUGGUCUCCGAUUAGUGGUUGCGCGGACGUGGCGAUGGAUUUUCCCGUAGCUCCGAUGGACAGGUUGCCCAUAUUCCCGGAUGAGGCAUCUAGCGCGGCGGCCCUAAUUGAAUUGAUUGGUGGGGCUGGUCGUGCGAAAAGGAAUUAGCCAACGGAUCUCGCCGGGCGGUGGUCGGAGGAUUUGGGCGCAGCUCAGCUGGGCAGUUCGGGGGUGGUGCCAUGUGCGGCGAGGAAACAAGUGUGGCUGCCGGCAGCUCUGCCGUGUAAACGCAGAUGCCGUUGACCAGGGCGGCGUUGAAACACAUUUUGAUUGAGAUCAGGGCGCUGUGAUUUAAGAUCGAACAGGAAGUGGCGAUGGAGGCUCUGCGCAAUCGACUGGCAAGGUGGAUCCCCAAGCCUCUGGAUGGACUAAGAGUUUGUUAUGCUGGCCAGUGAAUGGUCAGUUUGAUAAAAUCAUUAUUUGGGGACUUCUUGCUGACGGCGGAGAGAGCUGCGGCUCUGAGGCCUUCUGUUGGUGGCCGUGCAUCGAGCAUGACCAAGCUAGCAAUGUUGCCAAGAGAAAGAAGAUGGCUACAUCCAUUAGCUGCUCAAGCUCCGGUGUCCUCACGUCAGGCUUGGCUUUGAGUGCUGACAGCAAAGCAUUCUACAUGGUAUGCACCCAGGUCCGCUUCAUCUGCUGGGAUAUAUCUAGGUUUGGACCUAUUGCAAAUUGCUGAUCUUCAAUAUGCUGCAUUAAUACCGGGAGGGAUCAGUUGAUGGUGUCUUCAGCCAAAUUGCUGAUCUAUCCGAUGAGAACGGGGAAGCUGCAGCCGACUCCAGAGAGGACGAUGACCACAACAUAGAGCCAUAGAGGUUGUGGCAGAGCUUGAUCCCGACGCCAACCAUCUGCUUGGCGAGGCGGAGCAGCCUGUUCUGUAAGAAUAUGAUGAGUUUGUGAUGGUUUGGAAAACUGACGAAGAUUCAGAGGGUAAAGAAGAAGUGGCAAGCCACAAGCGUCCUCGCCUGUGCUAGACGCUAAAUCAAGUCAAUGGACCAGUUGACUAGAACUAGAAAUUAAGUGCGUGUAUUUUGUGUUUACGCCUCCGUGUAUUUUGCUGGAAUCUUAGUGUGUGUCCAUUGCUGGGAGGAACUGUCUCUAAAUUAGUUGUUAUUAUUUUUUUGAGAA
Long non-coding RNA from Triticum aestivum (bread wheat), 1355 nucleotides. RefSeq lists it as uncharacterized. Lineage: Eukaryota; Viridiplantae; Streptophyta; Magnoliopsida; Poales; Poaceae. The record is from RefSeq and is a predicted model, not a curated record. The transcript is spliced from 3 exons.